RNAcentral lists this ribosomal RNA (498 nucleotides) under uncultured bacterium. Its description in RNAcentral is "partial 16S ribosomal RNA". It matches the Rfam family "Bacterial small subunit ribosomal RNA", at positions 30 to 523 of the family's 1533-position model. The record is from RNAcentral.
AUUGAACGCUGGCGGCAUGCCUUACACAUGCAAGUCGAACGGUAACAGGUCUUCGGAUGCUGACGAGUGGCGAACGGGUGAGUAAUAUAUCGGAACGUGCCCAGUAGUGGGGGAUAACUGCUCGAAAGAGCAGCUAAUACCGCAUACGACCUGAGGGUGAAAGGGGGGGAUCGCAAGACCUCUCGCUAUUGGAGCGGCCGAUAUCAGAUUAGCUAGUUGGUGGGGUAAAGGCCUACCAAGGCAACGAUCUGUAGUUGGUCUGAGAGGACGACCAGCCACACUGGGACUGGGGCCCGGCCCAGACUGCUACGGGAGGCAGCAGUGGGGAAUUGUGGACAAUGGGCGCAAGCCUGAUCCAGCAAUGCCGCGUGCAGGAAGAAGGCCUUCGGGUUGUAAACUGCUUUUGUCAGGGAAGAAAUCUUCUGGGCUAAUACCCCGGGAGGAUGACGGUACCUGAAGAAUAAGCACCGGCUAACUACGUGCCAGCAGCCGCCGUAA